AACGCUAGCUACAGGCUUAACACAUGCAAGUCGAGGGGCAGCAUGAACUUAGCUUGCUAAGUUUGAUGGCGACCGGCGCACGGGUGAGUAACACGUAUCCAACCUGCCGAUGACUCGGGGAUAGCCUUUCGAAAGAAAGAUUAAUACCCGAUGGCAUAGUUCUUCCGCAUGGUAGAACUAUUAAAGAAUUUCGGUCAUCGAUGGGGAUGCGUUCCAUUAGGUUGUUGGCGGGGUAACGGCCCACCAAGCCUUCGAUGGAUAGGGGUUCUGAGAGGAAGGUCCCCCACAUUGGAACUGAGACACGGUCCAAACUCCUACGGGAGGCAGCAGUGAGGAAUAUUGGUCAAUGGGCGAGAGCCUGAACCAGCCAAGUAGCGUGAAGGAUGACGGCCCUAUGGGUUGUAAACUGCUUUUAUACAGGAAUAAAGUUAGCCACGUGUGGCUAUUUGUAGGUACUGUAUGAAUAAGGACCGGCUAAUUCCGUGCCAGCAGCCGCGGUAAUACGGAAGGUCCAGGCGUUAUCCGGAUUUAUUGGGUUUAAAGGGAGCGUAGGCCGUCUGUUAAGCGUAUUGUGAAAUGUAGAUGCUCAACAUCUGAAUUGCAGCGCGAACUGGCAGACUUGAGUGUGCGCAACGUAGGCGGAAUUCGUGGUGUAGCGGUGAAAUGCUUAGAUAUCACGAAGAACUCCGAUUG
This 693-nucleotide ribosomal RNA is filed under the name uncultured bacterium. RNAcentral's name for it is "bacterial SSU rRNA". It matches the Rfam family "Bacterial small subunit ribosomal RNA", at positions 32 to 715 of the family's 1533-position model. The record is from RNAcentral.